Long non-coding RNA from Myxocyprinus asiaticus (Chinese sucker), 2371 nucleotides. RefSeq lists it as uncharacterized. The record is from RefSeq and is a predicted model, not a curated record. NCBI's taxonomy places the organism in Eukaryota, Metazoa, Chordata, Actinopteri, Cypriniformes, Catostomidae. The transcript is spliced from 11 exons.
UGGUGAGAUAUCACUGCUUCUUUCUUUAAUCCAUUGUAAUGUUUCUGUUGUAUUUAAUUUUUUAUUUUUUAUUUUAUUUUUUGUGAAUAGUAGGUGCUAGUUAUAAAUAACCCUUUUGGGUUGUUCUGCCUUUUAAGGUUGUCUUAUAUUGUAGCUUUAGUGGAGAGCAUGGCGGUGAACCGCUUAGCUUUUUUGCUUGCUAGUCUCUAAUCUGAAUCCAAAACCAUCCUUGCUUAGUUACAGAUAUUAUUUGCGGUUUACGACAAUUUAUCAACAUAUUAUAUGCUUACGCAUCUGAAGUGCAACAUAUUUAUGGCGUUUACUUCCAAAUUGUCUCUUUCUACUGCUUUUCUGGUUGUGCUCUCAGUAAAGAUAACUUUCACAGACCUGUACUGAAACACUGUGAUUGCUGUUUAUUUAUCUAACGAGAGAUUUGACGCGCUAUUCUCUUGUUUUUGCGUUAAAAUGAGAAUUGUCGAGUAAAGUUCCGUGUUCUGGAAGUUGCGAAUGGGAGCACGUGUCUUAACUAAGUAUUCUCUUGCAGCCAUACAGACCAGGAUGAACCUGCAGUGCAUGGACUGGGAGGUUGUCAUUGGGUCUGCUGGAAUGAGGUCAAGGCCUUUUAACUUAAUGGUGCCUACAAAUGAACCUGAGUGCACUGGGUACCCAUGGACCUCUUAAUAUGGUUCCACUUUUGAACUAAAGGAGUGCAGUCCCUGUCUCUUCUGGUGAGGGUUUCGCCCCCCCCCCCCCCCCCCCCAUCUGAAUGGUUUGAGAGAAUGAACCGGUCAAACCAUGUAAUAUCUGGACUGCAUUAUUGCCCCAUGGGGUGUCUGCACAAAGUAACCUGGGCAAAAACCAAAGGCUCUGGGUUGUGCAAAGGAGCAUUGUGCUAUACCCAAAAGAAUGGGUUGAAUCCUCAGUGUCUAUCAGGUGGUGUACAUGACGUUGCCUGUACAGAUAAGAGUUCUGCAACAAUUUCCCCUGGAUGUUUUGCACCUUUUUGAAUUUGGCAAGGUGUCUCCAUGUCUGGCUGAUAGUGAACUUUUGCUGUCCAAGUUAAGAUUUUUCCCAUGGCUGUGUGAACCAAGUACUAUUCUGGAUUUCUGAGGUUGAAUUGCUAGAUGCUUUUCUUACCUAAAAAGGUAGCUGUAUUGGAAGUUGUACUCUUCAGUUGCUGUGACUCUCCCCUAAUUUUAUUAUCUGUAAUUCCAACAAUGGAGCUUCACAGUACAAAACUAAGCCUUUUUACAUGGUUUAAGGGUGGAUAUUAGACUGUUCAUGGGUUGUCAUUUUCCCUUUUUAAGCACUUGUGAUUUAACUUGAUGUGUUUGAAAAAUAAAACUGCCUUCAAGUUUAUGCCUACAAAUGUGUUCCUUUUAUAUUGUAAGAUGUAACCUUUUCCCAUUGACUUGUGAAUUUGGGUUGUCACUGGUUUAAAAGUGUAAGUGACACCAGAAGUACUGUUGUCUUCAACACCACUUUGUAGACUUAGCCGUUUCUAAAACCCAUGGGAUGGCUCCUCAACGGGCAUUGACUAAAUGGCACAAGUUUGUAAAUGGGCCAAUCCAUAUUUAUCCCAAAGGAAGUUGUGUAAAGAGGCUAAAGACUGAACCUUAAGGUUAUACCCUCAUGACAUGCAGUUUUCCAAUAAAAGCGUGCCUGCAUUUCUGAGAAUGAAUCUAAGGAGAACUGUGCCAAUAGUUAAGCUAUUAGUAUUAACCAUAUAAUGGCAACUGUUAAACCCUAAGCUAGGGGCCAGGGAGGCUCUACUAUCCUGUCAAAGGGCUGCAAGUGUUCUAGAGGGGACAAAGUCCAGACUGAAGGUUCAUAGAACAGGGAUCUUGGGUCCUAAAAUGUUCAGUUUUCCAAAGUUUAAGGUCAAAGUCUUAAAUGAUACAAGUCUUAAUCAUUUAAAGGGGUCUUAAAUUUAGGGGCUGAAAGACUGGAAGUGUCAUAUGAAGUAAUGUGAAUAUCAAACUUUAAAAUUUGAUUUGCAUGCAUUAAAGUGAAUGUGAUUCGUAUUUUCAAACAUGGGUGUUUCCAGCUGUUGCAAAGCAGUUCAGUCAUUAAGCCAUACGUUUAUAAGCUGAUUUAUUAAUGAUCAACUGUUGUAGUGCUGAUGAAAUAUAACAAUGUUUACUUUUAUAUUGUAAAAGCAGCUUGAAAGUGAGGUGAGGCAAGCAUUUCAAAAUGUGAGUCCCCAGUGUAUUUCAGCAUUUAAAGUAAUUUCUGUGUUAUGAAUCAGAUCAACGCAUAGUAUCAGCAAAAUCCAUGUUGGUUUACCUCUAUUUCUAUAAUGGUACAUAUGUUUUAAUGUGAUGUACUGUAUAUGUGGAAAACAUGUCUUUGAGUAAACUUGCAUACAGUA